AAGUCGAACGAGUUCUCGUUGAUGAUCGGUGCUUGCACUGAGAUUCAACAUGGAACGAGUGGCGGACGGGUGAGUAACACGUGGGUAACCUGCCCUUAAGUGGGGGAUAACAUUUGGAAACAGAUGCUAAUACCGCAUAGAUCCAAGAACCGCAUGGUUCUUGGCUGAAAGAUGGCGUAAGCUAUCGCUUUUGGAUGGACCCGCGGCGUAUUAGCUAGUUGGUGAGGUAAUGGCUCACCAAGGCGAUGAUACGUAGCCGAACUGAGAGGUUGAUCGGCCACAUUGGGACUGAGACACGGCCCAAACUCCUACGGGAGGCAGCAGUAGGGAAUCUUCCACAAUGGACGCAAGUCUGAUGGAGCAACGCCGCGUGAGUGAAGAAGGCUUUCGGGUCGUAAAACUCUGUUGUUGGAGAAGAAUGGUCGGCAGAGUAACUGUUGUCGGCGUGACGGUAUCCAACCAGAAAGCCACGGCUAACUACGUGCCAGCAGCCGCGGUAAUACGUAGGUGGCAAGCGUUAUCCGGAUUUAUUGGGCGUAAAGCGAGCGCAGGCGGUUUUUUAAGUCUGAUGUGAAAGCCCUCGGCUUAACCGAGGAAGCGCAUCGGAAACUGGGAAACUUGAGUGCAGAAGAGGACAGUGGAACUCCAUGUGUAGCGAUGAAAUGCGUAGAUAUAUGGAAGAACACCAGUGGCGAAGGCGGCUGUCUGGUCUGUAACUGACGCUGAGGCUCGAAAGCAUGGGUAGCGAACAGGAUUAGAUACCCUGGUAGUCCAUGCC
This 778-nucleotide ribosomal RNA is filed under the name uncultured bacterium. RNAcentral describes it as "bacterial SSU rRNA". It matches the Rfam family "Bacterial small subunit ribosomal RNA", at positions 59 to 801 of the family's 1533-position model. The record is from RNAcentral.